GAUGAACGCUGGCGGCGUGCCUAAUACAUGCAAGUCGAGCGAACAGAUGAGGAGCUUGCUCCUCUGACGUUAGCGGCGGACGGGUGAGUAACACGUGGAUAACCUACCUAUAAGACUGGGAUAACUUCGGGAAACCGGAGCUAAUACCGGAUAAUAUAUUGAACCGCAUGGUUCAAUAGUGAAAGACGGUUUUGCUGUCACUUAUAGAUGGAUCCGCGCCGCAUUAGCUAGUUGGUAAGGUAACGGCUUACCAAGGCGACGAUGCGUAGCCGACCUGAGAGCGUGAACGGCCACAGUGGAACUGGGAGACGGGCCAUACUCCUACGGAAGGCCGCAGAGGUGAAUCUUCCGCAAUAGGCGAAAGCCUGACGGAGCACCGCAGCGUGCGUGAUGAAGUCACUCGGAGCGUAAAACUCUGUUAUUAGGGAAGAACAAUUGUGUACGUAACUAUGCACGUCUUGACGGUACCUAAUCAGAAAGCCACGGCUAACUACGUG
Molecule: ribosomal RNA, 497 nt
Filed under: uncultured bacterium
Lineage: Bacteria
Description: partial 16S ribosomal RNA
Rfam family: Bacterial small subunit ribosomal RNA
Source: RNAcentral